GGGCCCCUAGCUCAGUUGGUUAGAGCACACGACUCAUAAUCGUUAGGUCCCCGGUUCGAGCCCGGGGGGGCCCACCA
RNAcentral lists this transfer RNA (77 nucleotides) under Thiomicrospira cyclica ALM1. RNAcentral describes it as "tRNA-Ile2 (CAT) (tRNA-Ile2-CAT-1-1)". It matches the Rfam family "tRNA". Rfam says of the family: Transfer RNA (tRNA) molecules are approximately 80 nucleotides in length. Their secondary structure includes four short double-helical elements and three loops (D, anti-codon, and T loops). RNAcentral also lists the same sequence under 1 other name. Lineage: Bacteria; Pseudomonadati; Pseudomonadota; Gammaproteobacteria; Thiotrichales; Piscirickettsiaceae. The record is from RNAcentral.